GGAGAGGUGCCUGAGCCCGGUUGAUAGGGACGGUUUGCUAAACCGUUGUGGCGGUUUAGGCCGCUACCGGGGGUUCGAAUCCCCCCCUCUCCGCCA
This 96-nucleotide transfer RNA is filed under the name Candidatus Omnitrophota bacterium. RNAcentral's name for it is "Candidatus Omnitrophica bacterium (groundwater metagenome) tRNA-Ser". It matches the Rfam family "tRNA". Rfam says of the family: Transfer RNA (tRNA) molecules are approximately 80 nucleotides in length. Their secondary structure includes four short double-helical elements and three loops (D, anti-codon, and T loops). Further hydrogen bonds mediate the characteristic L-shaped molecular structure. tRNAs have two regions of fundamental functional importance: the anti-codon, which is responsible for specific mRNA codon recognition, and the 3' end, to which the tRNAs corresponding amino acid is attached (by aminoacyl-tRNA synthetases). tRNAs cope with the degeneracy of the genetic code in two manners: having more than one tRNA (with a specific anti-codon) for a particular amino acid; and 'wobble' base-pairing, i.e. permitting non-standard base-pairing at the 3rd anti-codon position. Lineage: Bacteria; Pseudomonadati; Candidatus Omnitrophota. The record is from RNAcentral.